CCUACGGGAGGCUGCAGUGGGGAAUAUUGCACAAUGGGGGAAACCCUGAUGCAGCGACGCCGCGUGAGUGAAGAAGUAUCUCGGUACGUAAAGCUCUAUCAGCCGGGAAGAAAAUGACGGUACCUGACUAAGAAGCCCCGGCUAACUACGUGCCAGCAGCCGCGGUACUAAGUAGGGGGCAAGCGUUAUCCGGAUUUACUGGGGGUAAAGGGAGGGUAGACGGCAGCACAAGUCCGGAGUGAAAUCCCGGGGGUUAACCCCGGAACUGCUUUGGAAACUGUGCGGCUGGAGUGCAGGAGGGGUAAGCGGAAUGCGUGGUGUAGCGGUGAAAUGCGUAGAUAUUAGGAGGAACACCGGUGGCGAAGGCGGUCUGCUGGACAGCAACUGACGCUGAGGCGCGAAAGCGUGGGGAGCAAACAGGAUUAGAUACCCUGGUAGUC
This 440-nucleotide ribosomal RNA is filed under the name uncultured bacterium. RNAcentral's name for it is "partial 16S ribosomal RNA". It matches the Rfam family "Bacterial small subunit ribosomal RNA", at positions 338 to 795 of the family's 1533-position model. The record is from RNAcentral.